CCUACGGGAGGCAGCAGUGGGGAAUAUUGGGCAAUGGAGGAAACUCUGACCCAGCGACGCCGCGUGCGGGAUGAAGGCCUUCGGGUUGUAAACCGCUUUCAGUAGGGAAGAAGCGAAAGUGACGGUACCUACAGAAGAAGCACCGGCUAACUAUGUGCCAGCAGCCGCGGUAAUACAUAGGGUGCAAGCGUUGUCCGGAAUUAUUGGGCGUAAAGAGCUCGUAGGUGGUUCGUCACGUCGGAUGUGAAAAUCUGGGGCUCAACCCCAGACCUGCAUUCGAUACGGGCGAUCUAGAGUGUGGUAGGGGAGACUGGAAUUCCUGGUGUAGCGGUGGAAUGCGCAGAUAUCAGGAGGAACACCAAUGGCGAAGGCAGGUCUCUGGGCCAUUACUGACACUGAGGAGCGAAAGCGUGGGGAGCGAACAGGAUUAGAUACCCUGGUAGUCCACGCCGUAAACGGUGGGCACUAGUUGUGGGAACCUUCCACGGUUUCUGCGACGCAGCUAACGCAUUAAGUGCCCCGCCUGGGGAGUACGAUCGCAAGNUUAAAACUUAAAGAUAGUCGCGNGNGAGNGCGACGACGACGACGAGGAGGAGG
RNAcentral lists this ribosomal RNA (597 nucleotides) under uncultured bacterium. RNAcentral describes it as "bacterial SSU rRNA". It matches the Rfam family "Bacterial small subunit ribosomal RNA", at positions 338 to 944 of the family's 1533-position model. The record is from RNAcentral.